Molecule: ribosomal RNA, 301 nt
Filed under: uncultured bacterium
Lineage: Bacteria
Description: partial 16S ribosomal RNA
Rfam family: Bacterial small subunit ribosomal RNA
Source: RNAcentral
CAGUAGCCACGGUAAUACAGAGGGUGCGAGCGUUAAUCGGAUUUACUGGGCGUAAAGCGUGCGUAGGCGGCUUUUUAAGUCGGAUGUGAAAUCCCUGAGCUUAACUUAGGAAUUGCAUUCGAUACUGGGAAGCUAGAGUAUGGGAGAGGAUGGUAGAAUUCCAGGUGUAGCGGUGAAAUGCGUAGAGAUCUGGAGGAAUACCGAUGGCGAAGGCAGCCAUCUGGCCUAAUACUGACGCUGAGGUACGAAAGCAUGGGGAGCAAACAGGAUUAGAGACCCCAGUAGUCCCUGUCUCUUAUAA